RNAcentral lists this signal recognition particle RNA (253 nucleotides) under Gorilla gorilla gorilla (western lowland gorilla). RNAcentral's name for it is "Metazoan signal recognition particle RNA". It matches the Rfam family "Metazoan signal recognition particle RNA". Rfam says of the family: The signal recognition particle (SRP) is a universally conserved ribonucleoprotein. It is involved in the co-translational targeting of proteins to membranes. The record is from Rfam by way of RNAcentral. Lineage: Eukaryota; Metazoa; Chordata; Mammalia; Primates; Hominidae.
GCCGGGUGCAGUGGUGCAGGCCUGUAGUUCCAGCUACUCAAGAGGCUGAAGUAAGAGGAUCACUGGAGCCCAGGGGUUCUGGGCUGUACUGUGCUAUGCUGAUCAGGUGUCCACACUAAGUUCACCAUCAAUAUGAUGACCUCCCAGGUGGGAAAUGGAGCAAGUGAAAACUCCCGUGCUGAUCAGUAGUGGGAUCAUGUCUGUGAAUAACCACUGCACUCCAACUGGGCAACAUAGCAAGACCCCAUCUCUA